Long non-coding RNA from Solanum tuberosum (potato), 143 nucleotides. RefSeq lists it as uncharacterized. The record is from RefSeq and is a predicted model, not a curated record. The transcript has 2 exons. NCBI's taxonomy places the organism in Eukaryota, Viridiplantae, Streptophyta, Magnoliopsida, Solanales, Solanaceae.
AUAACGGGUCUAUUUCCGGUCACUUUAUUCACCUUCCUCAUUCUAUCUGCUAUGGCAUACAUGGAACUGAGAUGGUUUGUGAAAGGGAAUGCAGUAGGGGUGAGGAUUACCGCUUGGUGAAACUCAUAAUUAUUGACUACAAU